AUGGAGAUGAAACCCAAAAGAUUUUCGUUGGGGCGUAACCCUCUCAGCGACGCGCCACAUCGGAACCCGGGUGUGGUGGAAAAUGGGCAAGGGCCGGGCCGUCACCCCCCAAGUGGCGCGCCGUAUCUUGAUCCGGAUACGCUGGCAAGUGAGCGAGGAUCGGGUCGUCGCAUUCUUAGUGGCGCGCUACAUCGGCGCCCGGAUGUAGUGGAAAAUGAGCAAGGGUCUUCGCAUUUGACUCGACGAGUGCGAAGGGUAAGGAAGCUAGCCGAGCCUAGGAGGAUUCGCUUAGGUAGCUGGAACAUAGGGUCUCUGACAGGGAAGCUUCGGGAGCUAGUUGAUGCAGCAGUGAGGAGAGGUGUUGAUAUCCUUUGCGUCCAAGAAACCAAAUGGAGAGGACAGAAGGCGAAGGAGGUGGAGGAUACCGGCUUCAAGCUGUGGUACACGGGGACGGCUGCAAACAGAAAUGGCGUAGGCAUCUUGAUCAACAAGAGCCUCAAGUAUGAAGUAGUAGACGUCAGGAGACGUGGGGACCGGAUUAUCCUGGUCAAGCUGGUAGCUGAGGACUUGGUUCUCAAUGUUAUCAGCGCAUAUGCCCCGCAAGUAGGCCACAAUGAGAACACCAAGAGGGAGUUCUGGGAAGGCUUGGAAGACAUGGUUAGGAGUGUACCGAUUGGUGAGAAGCUCUUCAUAGGAGGAGACCUCAAUGGCCACGUGGGUACAUCUAACACAGGUUUUGAAGGGGCGCAUGGGGGCUUUGGCUAUGGCAUCAGGAAUCAAGAAGGAGAAGAUGUCUUAAGCUUUGCUCUAGCCUACAACAUGAUUGUAGCUAACACCCUCUUUAGAAAGAGAGAAUCACAUCUGGUGACUUUUAGUAGUGGCCAACACUCUAGCCAGAUUGAUUUCAUCCUCUCGAGAAGAGAAGAUAGGCGUGCGUGCCUAGACUGUAAGGUGAUACCUGGGGAGAGUGUUGUACCCCAGCAUAAGCUGGUGGUUGCUGACUUCCGCUUUCGGAUUCGUGUCCAGCGGGAUAAGUGUGCCAAGGUCGCUAGAACGAAGUGGUGGAAGCUCAAGGGGGAGGUAGCUCAGGUGUUCAAGGAGAGGGUAUUUAAGGAGGGCCCUUGGGAGGAAGGAGGGGAUGCGGACAAUGUGUGGAUGAAGAUGGCGACUUGCAUUCGUAAGGUGGCCUCAGAGGAGUUUGGAGUGUCCAGGGGAAGGAGAAGCGAAGAUAAGGAUACCUGGUGGUGGAAUGAUGAUGUCCAGAAGGCGCUUAAAGAGAAGAAAGAUUGCUUCAGACGCCUAUACCUGGAUAGGAGUGCAGACAACAUAGAGAAGUACAAGAUGGCGAAGAAGGCCGCAAAGCGAGCUGUUGGUGAAGCAAGGGGUCGGGCAUAUGAGGACCUCUACCAACGGUUAUGCACGAAGGAAGGUGAAAGGGACAUCUAUAAGAUGGCUAAGAUCCAGGAGAGGAAGACGAGGGAUAUUGGCCAAGUCAAAUGCAUCAAGGACGGAGCAGGCCAUCUCUUGGUGAAGGACGAAGAGAUUAAGCAUAGAUGGCGGGAGUACUUCGACAAGCUGUUCAAUGGGGAGAAUGAGAGUUCUACCAUUGAACUGAAUGACUCCUUUGAUGAGACCAGCAUGCGUUUUGUGCGGCGCAUCCAGGAGUCUGAGGUGAAGGAGGCUUUAAAAAGGAUGAAAGGAGACAAGGCGAUGGGCCCUGAUUGUAUCCCCAUUGAGGUGUGGAAAGGUCUCGGGGACAUAGCGAUAGUAUGGCUAACCAAGCUUUUCAACCUCAUUUUUCAGGCAAACAAGAUGCCAGAAGAAUGGAGAUGGAGUAUAUUAGUACCAAUCUUCAAGAACAAGGGGGAUGUUCAGAGUUGUACUAAUUACCGUGGAAUUAAGCUGAUGAGCCAUACAAUGAAGCUAUGGGAGAGAGUCAUUGAGCACCGCUUAAGAAGAAUGACAAGCGUGACCAAAAAUCAGUUUGGUUUCAUGCCUGGGAGGUCGACCAUGGAAGCCAUUUUCUUGGUACGACAACUUAUGGAGAGAUAUAGGGAGCAUAAGAAGGACUUGCAUAUGGUGUUCAUUGACUUGGAGAAGGCCUAUGAUAAGAUACCGUGGAAUGUCAUGUGGUGGGCCUUGGAGAAACACAAAGUCCCAGCAAAGUACAUUACCCUCAUCAAGGACAUGUACAAUAAUGUUGUGACAAGUGUUCGAACAAGUGAUGUCGACACCGAUGACUUCCCGAUUAAGAUAGGACUGCAUCAGGGGUCAGCUUUGAGCCCUUAUCUUUUUGCAUUGGUGAUGGAUGAGGUCACAAGGGGUAUACAAGGAGAUAUCCCAUGGUGUAUGCUCUUUGCGGAUGAUGUGGUGCUAGUUGACGAUAGUCGGACGGGGGUAAAUAGGAAGUUAGAGUUAUGGAGACAAACCUUGGAAUCGAAAGGGUUUAGGCUUAGUAGAACUAAAACCGAGUACAUGAUGUGCGGUUUCAGUACUACUAGCUGUGAGGAGGAGGAGGUUAGCCUUGAUGGCCAGGUGGUACCUCGGAAGGACACCUUUCGGUAUUUGGGGUCAAUGUUGCAGGAGGAUGGGGGUAUUGAUGAAGAUGUGAACCAUCGAAUCAAAGUCGGAUGGAUGAAGUGGCGCCAAGCUUCUGGUAUUCUCUAUGACAAGAGAGUGCCACAAAAACUAAAAGGCAAGUUCUACAGGACGGCGGUUCGACCCGCAAUGUUGUAUGGCGCGGAGUGUUGA
RNAcentral lists this ribosomal RNA (2751 nucleotides) under Triticum aestivum (bread wheat). Its description in RNAcentral is "partial small subunit ribosomal RNA". The record is from RNAcentral. Lineage: Eukaryota; Viridiplantae; Streptophyta; Magnoliopsida; Poales; Poaceae.